Molecule: ribosomal RNA, 362 nt
Filed under: uncultured bacterium
Lineage: Bacteria
Description: bacterial SSU rRNA
Rfam family: Bacterial small subunit ribosomal RNA
Source: RNAcentral
AAUGAACGCUGGCGGCAGGCCUAAACAUGCAAGUCGAACGCUGUAGCAAUACAGAGUGGCGCACGGGUGAGUAACAUGUGGGAAUAUGCCUAUUGGUACGGAACAACGUUUGGAAACGAACGCUAAUACCGUAUGGUCCCUUCGGGGGUAAAGAUUUAUCGCCAAUAGAUUAGCCCGCACUAGAUUAGCUAGUUGGUGAGGUAAGAGCUCACCAAGCCGACGAUCGGUAGCUGGUCUGAGAGGAUGAUCAGCCACACUGGGACUGAGAUACGGCCCAGACUCCUACGGGAGGCAGCAGUGGGAAUAUGGACAAUGGGGCAACCUGAUCCAGCAAUGCCGCGUGAGUGAUGAAGGCCUUAGGG